CUGGCUCAGGAUGAACGCUGGCGGCGUGCUUAACACAUGCAAGUCGAACGAAGCACUUUAUUUGAAACCUUCGGGUAGAUUAUUCUGUGACUUAGUGGCGGACGGGUGAGUAACGCGUGGGUAACCUGCCUCAUACACCGGGAUAACAGUUGGAAACGGCUGCUAAUACCGGAUAAGCAUACAGUACCGCAUGGUACAGUGUGAAAAACUCAGGUGGUAUGAGAUGGACCCGCGUCUGAUUAGCUAGUUGGUAAGGUAACGGCUUACCAAGGCGACGAUCAGUAGCCGACUUGAGAGAGUGAUCGGCCACAUUGGGACUGAGACACGGCCCAAACUCCUACGGGAGGCAGCAGUGGGGAAUAUUGCACAAUGGGGGGAACCCUGAUGCAGCG
RNAcentral lists this ribosomal RNA (392 nucleotides) under Eubacterium uniforme. RNAcentral describes it as "bacterial SSU rRNA". It matches the Rfam family "Bacterial small subunit ribosomal RNA", at positions 19 to 393 of the family's 1533-position model. The record is from RNAcentral. Lineage: Bacteria; Bacillati; Bacillota; Clostridia; Eubacteriales; Eubacteriaceae.